AGACUCUCAAGAGAGAACUAUGUUAGUAUGGAUAAUGUCAUUAUGUUUGGGAUCGCCCCGAUGAAAGGGGAAAGAAGAGGGUACUCUAGGCGACUUUAAGAGAGCUAACCCCGGAACUUAGGGGAAUCCCGCACUGUGAGGAAGGGAGCAGGCGGCGGAGCGAGGGAGCGAGAGGAGGGAGCGCGGUACCGGAAGCGGGAUCCUCGGGGCAGCGGAUGAUGACGAGGAGGUGGUGGAGCGGAGAAAGAGGAGGAGCGGAAGGGAAGCGAGCGGGCGUCCAGCGACGGCAACCUCUUGUGUCCUCACGCCCAGAAGUUCAACCCCACCAGUCCUCCCGACGGGUUGGACUGCCGCGUAGGAGGAGGAGUGUCGAAGCAGCGUGCGCGUGGAAGAAGAGGAGGGAGGAGGGAGGGAGCAGUGAUGAAGGUGGUCAGGGGAGGGAGGGAGCAGGCACCGGCGACGACGGCGUGUUUAGAGGAUCCAGUCCCUUUCCUUCUUCCGGAACCGCUCAGUCGUCCCCACCCACCUCGCCGACUACGCCUACCCCAGCUGCCAACUCCCUCCCAACGGCUGGUCUCGUCGUCCUCGUUCUCGAGCUCUUCCAAGUCUAACCUAUGUUUACCAAGUCGUUUCUCCCUCACACAUUGGCGUAGUCUCUAAUCCGGUACCUCGUUCUCACACACUGAUCCAACACGUUUAAAAAAGGGAUCUCUGUCGUCUCCUUGGGGAGGACCAGCUCGGGGGUGGGAUAGGAGAGGUGGAAAUCUCCUCUUGGGGUACUUUCGAUUUUCAAACACCUCCUCACAACCGUGUCAAAAAAUCUCCCACAAAGCCUGAGUUCUAACUAGACCAUCACGUGCACCAUAACAAACGGUACUGGUCCUUAUAGACUAGACGCGGUACUGUUAUACCCGAACGACGUCGGUCCGUCAAGAAGUCUCAUACCACGAAGCUAAACCAAGGACACCACACAAUCAAAGUCUUGGGAUAGGAGAGGUGGAAAUCUCCUCUUGGGGUACUUUCGAUUUUCAAACACCUCCUCACAACCGUGUCAAAAAAUCUCCCACAAAGCCUGAGUUCUAACUAGACCAUCACGUGCACCAUAACAAACGGUACUGGUCCUUAUAGACUAGACGCGGUACUGUUAUACCCGAACGACGUCGGUCCGUCAAGAAGUCUCAUACCACGAAGCUAAACCAAGGACACCACUCGCAUAUACCUCUCCGGUCUUCGUCGUCCCCAGCCGCCUCACCGCCUACACCAGCUGCCUCGUCGUCGCCAUCCUCGUUCCUCGAGCUCUACCAAGUCCUUUUCACGGAUGUCUCUAAAGUCUUGAUCUAUCUACACAGAAUACUAUCAUAACGAUUUCUUGUAGUCUAUUAAGUCGCCAAGAAGGAAGAAUCAUAGUUACUUAUCCAACUAAUGUCUUAUAUAAACUUCUAACGUCGUCCGUGUUUUACGAGCCGUUUGUUUUUAUUAAUCGAAACUCCAACGGAUCUCUCUCUGGUGAGAGCGUAGUAAUCCACGGCGGGUGUUCCUAGAGGGCGCCGCUCCGUACGUGUGGAUACGGUGUAGUAAUGUACACUGGUCCGCGUAUCCUCUCGACGUAUGUAAAACAUACCUACAUAUAUCAACGUGAUAUGACCAUACAUACAGUCGACGUCAUCGAACGGUCAAUCAGGAACCACUUCUACGUAAGAUUGGAUAUUCCUCCGACCGGUUGAACGGAGGUGUCUCGAGGGUGCUGACCCGGGAAAGACUGACAGGCUAGUGCUAGUACGGUACAAAAUCGCGAGUACCUCAAGGGCACUAUAUGCAACUCAGACCACUAGGAAUGUUUUGUAUAUACCUUCCGAUACCUAGAAUAGUACCUACUCGAGCUUUUAUAUAAUUAAAGUUUAGGUAUAUAUGUAGUGUGAGUAUGGGCUUUGACUUGUCCCUGUUCUUGUACGUUAAUAUACAACACCAUCUAAAGUUUUCUCUGGGUACCGGGUCUCAUCAAAACGUGUUUACUUCCUAUAGUCUGUCUGGGUACCUCGUUCUCUAGGAGAAACAGUCCCGGUGGAAUGAACAUACCGGAGUUCGAGUCCCCUGGGAAGAUUGAUUCUAGGAUACGUGGACGGAGGAAGGAGAUCCGUGCACUUCCGAUUGUACUCCUCGACUGCUCGAUUUGUUCCUCGACCUCGUCCUAACAUCCUCCCUCCAUGUGAUCCCCGACCUCGUCCUGUUGGUAACAAAGUCUAGGUGAACUGAGUAGGGUUCACCAACGUUACAGAAGAAUACAUUAAAAAUAAAUGUGUGUAUUACUAUUCUCUGAAUAAAAAAGACUUACUAAUCCAAGUAUCAUCAAAUUUUUUCCUAUGUUUUUAUACUUUUAUUCUCGAAGGUAAGUAUUUUAAACAUGUUUUACAGGGAAAGGUAUUACUUCAACCAAAGAUUAGUGUGUGUACAUGACGAUGUACUAGGAUAUGCACAACAGACUUAAUUCACUUUCCUAUAACCGUAAAAGAGAGGGCCAAUUAGUCCUGAAUAACUGUCCCUGAACCCUAUUAACUUGAAUCUUCCAAAAGAUAGAAUAUUAUACUAUUACGUCCGAAGGAAUGGAACUGGUCUUUAAAUCGUAAAACAACAACGAGGAAUGGUACGUUACACCGAAGUCGUGGUAAAAAUUUUAUAUUCGGUAGUAAACAGGGCCAGGAAUAGUUCGUCAAGGAAUAGUUUCCCCUAAAACUACAAGAAUGACUUUGUCUCCUGAACUUAACUACUAAAGAUCCUAAUCAUUUGUAAUCGUGUUAGGACUAAUAGGUCAACUCUUUAGAAUAUAAAAUUAACGCUAUCCAUUACAUCUGACGUUCUCAACAGAAGAUUCAAAACGUUUAAGAAGACACUCAUCGAUUACGACAAAUCUUUAAAACUAAAGGGUAAAACAACAUCGAGAAGUAAAAAACAGUGACCAAAUGUAAAUAAACAUAGAAAGAGUAAGACAAGUAUCGUAAAACAGUACAAAGAAGGAAAAAUAUCUCUAUAAAACUACAACACAGUUCUUCAAACCGAUUAACUGCCGAGUUUACUAACGUUCGUAUACUAGAACAGUCGAGCUCACUAACGUCCGCAUAGCUGAUAUCCGUUUGCAUGUCUGUAUCUUCUAAAAAACAAAACCAAUUUAACGUCGGUUCGAUGAAUGUAUGCUGAGAAUAGACCCGUAGACUCUUAAGGGUUUGCCACAUACGAAGACAAAAUCGGACUAAAUGCAAAGAUGAUAUCUACAUCGAGAUACUGUCAUGUUUGAAAAACGUGAUAACUUAUCUUCUUGCAAAUACGAAGUCACACCGAUGACCGAACCAUCUGUCCGGGACAGCACCCUGUUCUUGGACUAUAACAACAAAAAAUACAACCUUCUUUACUACCAAACUAGGUACACGUUAACGUAACCAAUAAAGAGUUGGCCACGUCUAGUUUAAAUAUUAAUAUAACUGU
RNAcentral lists this ribosomal RNA (3477 nucleotides) under Triticum aestivum (bread wheat). Its description in RNAcentral is "partial small subunit ribosomal RNA". Lineage: Eukaryota; Viridiplantae; Streptophyta; Magnoliopsida; Poales; Poaceae. The record is from RNAcentral.